CCGCCACUGUUGGGUCGCCGUGCUGUCGUCUGAGAGCAGAGAGUGUGUGCGAGGAAGGAGAAGCCGUUCAAGCCACUACCAAGUCACCAUCGAUGAAAAUUCAACCAUCGUACCUCUGGUCGCCAGAAACUGCCAUUGGAGCCGCCACCUUCUUGUUGCUCUGUCGUACGCCACUGUUGGAGCUACCAUUCCACUACUGCUGCCUUUGCUCUGAGUCGUUAAUUGUAGCGAGUAUUGUUGUCAUGGCGGCUGCUCGGUUUAGUCGCUCCUCUUUAGUAUGGAUCGAGGUCCGGUUGCUGCACAUUGGUGAAUUUAAGUUACUGCUAUAGUUGCGGACACCAUGGAGCUGUGAUUGCGAUUGUUACCAAUGUCGGGCCGAGAGGAAAAGAGUUCCAGUGACGUGUUUGGUCUAUAGUUUCGACUUAUUGAGGUAGGGUUUUUCUUAAAAUCUAAUUUACAUUACAGAGUUGUGAUAAAUAGAUAUUGAUGCAAAAAGAUGUAUUUCUGUGAUUAUAUUUGUCUUGUGAAUAUGAUGGUUUGUUGGACUGAAUUAUUGAGUGUUUGAUUGCUUGAGUGAAGUACGGUUGUUGAUAAGAAAUGGAUUUGGAAAGUCAUUUACUUGAUUAUUAUGAAAAGUGGUUUUUCUUGGUUUGAAGUUAAAGUGGUUUGACUUUGAGUCGGUCUGAUAUUAUAAAUAAUUUAAUACUUGAGCUGGUUUGACUUUAGCAAGAGUUUUAUUAUUGGAAUUGGUCUGAUUUGAAAAUACUUUGAUACUGGAAUUGGUUGAAUUUUGGAAAGUGAUUGAGAUUUGGAAAUGAUUGAGAAAGGAUUUGAGAAAUGUUUGGAUGGGACCCGAAAAGGGUGGCCGUGUCCGAGUUUUAAAGGAAUGCUGCCGAAAUUUUAUAAAAUUAGAAGUUUUAUUUGAAGUAAUUAAUUAAAAAGAUUUGUUUUUAAAUAUUCUAUAUUUUAAGAUUGAUUUAUUUAUCAAAGAAAGAAUUAUGUUUUGAAUUGGGAUUGUUAAUGAACGGGAUGGAAAGAAGGAUGAUGAGGAUUGAUGAGGAUUUUUCCUGAAAUAUGGUUUUUAAAUGAAUUUGGAAAUGAGAUUUGGAUUGAUGAAUGAUUAUGAUGUUGAGAAUGUUGAGAUAUGAUCUUUGAAUUAUUUAUAUGGCUUAUGAAUUUGAAAUAUCUGAGAUACGAGGUUCCGUGGAUUAAGUGUCGUGGCUUGCCACCACGUGUACCAGAUUGAAAACUCGAUACUCUGUUGACCCGACAACGUAAGUGUGAUCGGGCACUAUAUAAAUUCCCCGGAAUGUUACCCCUAUUGAGCAAUAUUGAUUAUUUGAGAAAAAGCUAUGCAUAGACUCUUGGGGAUGCACGUCAGGAAACAGUCUAAGGACAAUUCAGACUUGUCGGGUUGGCUGGAUAACCGACAGAUGAGCCUCAUCAGCCAUAGGACGGCAUGCAUCAUAUGCAUUUGUAUGCUUUGCUUGGAUUUGAACUUGUUUUGGUUUGCCUAAUUGCUAAACUUUUCUUAACUGCUACUUGAACUAUUUGCUGUAACUGCUUCCUACUUGUGCUUUCCUUGUCUAUCUUGCCUGUGUUUGUCCUGGCGUGUUACAUUUGAGAAUGGACUUUGGUGCUGAAUGAAUGACUGUGUUGUUUCAUUGCAUGGUUGGUUUCUGAUUGAGAUUUGCUUAUGAGAAAGGAAAGACUUUGGAUUUCUGAAAAUAUUAAACAUUGUUUCUUUGAAAAAGGUUUUGAACGAUUAGCUAUUGGAUUUUAAAAGGGUUCAUAAGGCAAUGAUAAUAAUAGAAUCUGAAAACAGUUUUCUUAUUGAAUAUUUUCUUAUGACAACUUUGAAAUUUUGUGGUGAGACCGUGUGGUUAGGUUCUCACCCCCCUACAGCUUUACUUUUUCAUGAACCAGAUGAAGAAGCAUUCAGAAGAGUUAUACUACGUUUAAUUUAUAUGUUGUUGUAUUAAUUAGAUUAUUUUCUCCCCUCAUCUUUGUUAUUACAAGUUUGUAAGAGGGAUAGGAAUUGUAUGUUUUAUACGUAUAUUAUAUUGAAUUAUUAUAUAAGGAGUCUUGUAUAUGAAUC
Arachis duranensis is the source of this 2098-nucleotide long non-coding RNA. RefSeq lists it as uncharacterized. The record is from RefSeq and is a predicted model, not a curated record. The transcript is spliced from 3 exons. NCBI's taxonomy places the organism in Eukaryota, Viridiplantae, Streptophyta, Magnoliopsida, Fabales, Fabaceae.